GAAGCCUUGUCUUAAGUUGUUGUUGCCUUGUUUAUUAGUUGUGGCCAGCUUGUAUUAGGGAGAGAUUAGCAUCCUUCUUCAAGAGUUUUCUUUGAGAGAGAGAGAGAGAUAUAUAUAUAUAUAUAAUUCUGGGAUUGAAAAUCCGACGAAGCUCCGACGAUGCUCCGGCGUGGAAACUUGAUAGAGGGGACCAUUUGAGAAGUGACUUUGGGUCGUCGCAUUGUGUCAUGGAGUAGAGUAUUUUCGAUGUAUGCUCAAACAUUUAUAUUCUUCUACUCCAUUGGAUUACACCUCUUGGUUUUCACAUGUCUCUACAGAAUGUUAGCUUUAAGCUAUCUCAGCACAACAUAUGGACAUGAGGAAAGCUUUGUCGACGCCAGUAGCCACACACUACGUCAUUGACAUUUGGAAACCUGGUUCUUGGAGUGCACAUUCUACAGUCCCUGAAUACAAUGUGAUUGCAAUUAACAAGUAGGAAGGAUGCAUCAUAUCAGCCACUGGUGAUGCAUGCGCUUACUGCUAGAAUGUGGUAUGUAUAUUUUUGAGGUAAAUAUAUUAUAUUAUUAAUGAUGUAUUGAAGUAUUAAACAAAUUGCUUAUGCCAGGUGCAUCACCACAACAUGAUUGAGAAUGGAAAGAGAAAAAUGGUCUUUAGGGGUCAUUCAGACUAUUUGCAUUGUGUAGUUGCUCGUGAAUCAAGUAAUCAGGUUAUUCUUGUUUUCCAAAAUUUUUUUUCCUGUAAUGAAGUUUUGUCUAAUAUUGAAGUAAUUAUCUUUGGAAUUUCAUUUCCAUGUAGCCAUUUUUCAGGAGCAAUCACAUGAUUCAACUUUUGCUAUACCUGGCAUGUUAUCUGCCACUUGAUCUUUCCUAAUGGACUCUACAUGCCAUCAUUUUUCUCCUGAGGCACUAUUCGGUAGUUUGAUUGAUCUUUUUGCAAUCAAUAUGUUCAUCAAUCUUCCUUUUCUCAAACAUGAUCAUGUUCUUCUACUCACAUUUUUUGUGGUCACCCUUGUGUUCUAACAAAAUUCUCUUGUCGAUCAAUCUUCCA
Long non-coding RNA from Dioscorea cayenensis subsp. rotundata (Guinea yam), 1047 nucleotides. RefSeq lists it as uncharacterized. The record is from RefSeq and is a predicted model, not a curated record. NCBI's taxonomy places the organism in Eukaryota, Viridiplantae, Streptophyta, Magnoliopsida, Dioscoreales, Dioscoreaceae. The transcript is spliced from 7 exons.